Molecule: non-coding RNA, 76 nt
Organism: Coniochaeta sp. 2T2.1
Lineage: Eukaryota; Fungi; Ascomycota; Sordariomycetes; Coniochaetales; Coniochaetaceae
Source: the annotation of a GenBank genome assembly
GGUCCCAUGGUGUAGUUGGUUUUAUCACGUCAGACUAAUACACUGAAGGUUCUCAGUUCAAGCCUGGCUCGGAUCA